GGCAUGGAAUCUUGCAGCAUCCACAAGACCACCUUGAACUCAUCAUGAAAUGUGACGUGGACAUCUGCAAAGACCAGUAUGCC
Molecule: microRNA precursor, 83 nt
Filed under: Chlorocebus sabaeus (green monkey)
Lineage: Eukaryota; Metazoa; Chordata; Mammalia; Primates; Cercopithecidae
Description: miRNA (ENSCSAG00000025653.1)
Source: RNAcentral